Molecule: transfer RNA, 75 nt
Filed under: Chlorodesmis fastigiata
Lineage: Eukaryota; Viridiplantae; Chlorophyta; Ulvophyceae; Bryopsidales; Halimedaceae
Description: tRNA-Ala
Rfam family: tRNA
About the family: Transfer RNA (tRNA) molecules are approximately 80 nucleotides in length. Their secondary structure includes four short double-helical elements and three loops (D, anti-codon, and T loops).
Source: RNAcentral
GGGGAUAUAGCUCAGUGGUAGAGCGCUGCUUUUGCACAGCAGAUGUCAGGAGUUCGACUCCCCUUAUCUCCACAA